This is a small nuclear RNA of Cricetulus griseus (Chinese hamster), 107 nucleotides long. The record is from Ensembl. Lineage: Eukaryota; Metazoa; Chordata; Mammalia; Rodentia; Cricetidae.
GUGCCCGCUUCGGCAGCACAUAUACUAAAAUUGGAACGAUACAGAGAAGAUUAGCAUGGCCCCUGUGCAAGGAUGACAGGCAAAUUCGUGAAGCAUUCCAUAUAGAA